GGGGGAUAAGCUUCAUUGUCAAGAGGGAAACAGCCCAUACUACCAGUUAAGGCCCCUAAAUAUAUACUAAGUGAUAAAGGAUGUAAUAGUACAUAGACAACCAGGAGGUUUGCCUAGAAGCAGCCACCCUUUAAAAAGUGCGUAAUAGCUUACUGGUCAAGUGCUUUUGCGCCGAAAAUGAAUGGGACUAAGUAUUUUGCCGAAACUGUAGGAUAAUAUCGGUAGAAGAGCGUUCUGUAUUGGUUUGAAGCAAUAGUGAAAACAGUUGUGGACUAAGCAGAAGUGAGAAUGUCGGCUUAAGUAACGAAAACAUUGGUGGAAAUCCAAUGCUCCGAAAACCUAAGGUUUCCUUCGCAAGGUUCGUCCACGAAGGGUUAGUCAGGUCCUAAAACAAGGUUAAGUAACGUAGUUGAUGGUUAACAGGUUAAUAUUCCUGUACCAUGUUUUAUUUGUUAAAAGUGACGAAGAAGGCUAUGUCAGCCAUAGAUUGGUUGUUUUGGUUUAAUCUUUCGAGAUGUUGAUGAGUAUAAAUAAAAAAUACUCUGAGUUAAGAAGAGAGUACGAGAAGCAUUACGGUGCUAAAAGUGAUUUAUGUCAUACUUCCAAGAAAAGCUUUAGUAACAUAUAAUAAAACAUGCCUGUACCUAAAACUGACACAGGUAGGUUAGUAGAGAAUACUAAGGAGCGCGAGAUAACUCUUUCUAAGGAACUCGGCAAAAUGACUCUGUAACUUCGGGAGAAAGAGUGCCUCCAAAAGAGGUCGCAGUAAUCAGACUCAAGCGACUGUUUACCAAAAACACAGGUCUCCGCUAAGUUGUAAAACUAUGUAUGGGGGCUGACGCCUGCCCAGUGCCGGAAGGUUAAAAAAAUUGGUUAGCGUAAGCGAAGCUGGUGAUUGAAGCCCUGGUGAACGGCGGCCGUAACUAUAACGGUCUUAAGGUAGCGAAAUUCCUUGUCGGGUAAGUUCCGACCCGCACGAAAGGCGUAACGAUUUGAGUACUGUCUCAGAAAGAGACUCGGUGAAAUAGAAUUGACUGUGAAGAUGCGGUCUACUCGCACUUGGACAGAAAGACCCUAUGAAGCUUUACUGUAACUUGAAAUUGGUUUUGGACUUUCUUUGCGCAGCAUAGGUGGGAGGCUAUGAACCUCUUUUUCGGAAGAUGGGGAGCCAAAAUAUGAGAUACCACUCUGAGAAAGUUAGGAAUCUAAUGACAUUAUUUUAUCAAGAUGUUUGACAGUUUCAGGCGGGCAGUUUUACUGGGGCGGUAGCCUCCUAAAAGGUAACGGAGGCGUACAAAGGUUUUCUCAGUCUGGACGGAAAUUAGUUGCAGAGUGUAAAGAUAUAAGAAAGCUUGACUGUGAGACUUACAAGUCAAACAGAGACUAAAGUCGGUCUUAGUGAUCCGACGGUGCUGUGUGGAAAGGCCGUCGCUUAACGGAUAAAAGUUACUCUAGGGAUAACAGGCUGAUCUCCCCCAAGAGUUCACAUCGACGGGGAGGUUUGGCACCUCGAUGUCGGCUCAUCGCAGCCUGGGGCGGUAGUACGUCCCAAGGGUUGGGCUGUUCGCCCAUUAAAGCGGUACGUGAGCUGGGUUCAGAACGUCGAGAGACAGUUCGGUCCAUAUCCGGUGUGAGCGUUAGAGUAUUGAAAGGAGCUUUCCUUAGUACGAGAGGACCGGGAAGGACACACCACUGAUGUACCAGUUUUUGUGCCAACAGAAAACGCUGGGUAGUCAAGUGUGGAGUGGAUAACUGCUGAAAGC
This is a ribosomal RNA of 1763 nucleotides. It matches the Rfam family "Bacterial large subunit ribosomal RNA", at positions 993 to 2778 of the family's 2925-position model.